This 111-nucleotide microRNA precursor is filed under the name Echinops telfairi (small Madagascar hedgehog). RNAcentral's name for it is "miRNA (ENSETEG00000021567.1)". The stretch from base 18 to 94 matches the Rfam family "mir-182 microRNA precursor family". Lineage: Eukaryota; Metazoa; Chordata; Mammalia; Afrosoricida; Tenrecidae. The record is from RNAcentral.
CUCUGCCGCCUGCCCCGCGCCGCCUUUGGCAAUGGUAGAACUCACACUGGUGAGGAAAUGGGAUCCGGUGGUUCUAGACUUGCCAACUACGGUGCCGGGCUCAGCCGCCAC